RNAcentral lists this non-coding RNA (97 nucleotides) under Firmicutes bacterium CAG:791. RNAcentral describes it as "Purine riboswitch aptamer". It matches the Rfam family "Purine riboswitch aptamer". Rfam says of the family: Riboswitches are metabolite binding domains within certain messenger RNAs that serve as precision sensors for their corresponding targets. RNAcentral also lists the same sequence under 1 other name. The record is from Rfam by way of RNAcentral. Lineage: Bacteria; Bacillati; Bacillota.
UUUUUUUUGCAUAAUAACGGAGGUAUAAGUCUGCAAAACGGGCAGACGUCUCUACCAACCGCCAAACUGGUUGACUACCGCAUGUGUAGUCAGCUUU